Ribosomal RNA from Oreochromis aureus, 109 nucleotides. The record is from Ensembl. Lineage: Eukaryota; Metazoa; Chordata; Actinopteri; Cichliformes; Cichlidae.
GCUUACGGCCAUACCACCCUGAGCACGCCUGAUCUCGGAAGCUAAGCAGGGUUGGGCUUGGUUAGUACUCGGAUGGUAGACUACUUGGGAAUACCAUGUGCUGUAAGCU